This 468-nucleotide long non-coding RNA is filed under the name Phoenix dactylifera (date palm). RNAcentral's name for it is "long non-coding RNA (PDAC_LNC017834)". The record is from RNAcentral. Lineage: Eukaryota; Viridiplantae; Streptophyta; Magnoliopsida; Arecales; Arecaceae.
GGCGGAAUCGAAGACUCCCCUAGGCAAUCCGAGUUCGACUCGAACUCUAAGAUCGCGCCUAUUUAAUUUUCCUCCCCCUCCUUUAAUUUCCACUACCAGAACCGCUGAUUCCAAGUUUGUUUCUCCAAGUCUCCUCCUUUAAUCCUUGCCGGAAACCUUGCUAGAAGCUUCAACGGACUGAGGUAAGAGUUUCUAGUCCUUCCUUUCCUGGUAUUUUAGCCUUGAUUGGCCCCGAUUUGAGCCAGCAAAUCACCAGAAUACCUCCUGAAACAGGGGUACCCUAUUUCAGCAUCCUUUCGAGUUAUGCCGCCACCGGCCGCCGGAUUCGGCUGGUUUCCGCCGCCGUCUAAGACCUUGAGAACAUGUGGCUGCCUGUUAUGGAGUUAGCCAUAGUUCAGGCCGAGUUGCCAUGGAUCAUCCUCCACCUUUUUCGGGAUCUUCCCUUCUUUCUUGUAUCAGCCAGCCACC